This 225-nucleotide unclassified non-coding RNA is filed under the name Hevea brasiliensis (rubber tree). Lineage: Eukaryota; Viridiplantae; Streptophyta; Magnoliopsida; Malpighiales; Euphorbiaceae. The record is from RNAcentral.
AUUUUUUUUUAAUUGAUUAAGAACACAGAGACAGUAAAGGCAAGCAUCCAUAGAUGACAAAAGCUUUAAAUUUAAUUAUUAAAAAUAAAACUAUAAUUUAUGCAACUAAGGCAGAUGAAGAAGCUAUAGGUUUACAUUUUUCUUGUAAAUCUUCAAGAAAAUAUUUAUCUUAAAGAAAAGAUAUGCUGUACAGAUAAUUACUGUGAAAAAGGUACAGUAAAUCUA